GCGUGANGGAUGAAGGGNGCUAUGCCUNGUNNACUUCUUUUGUCUGGGACGAAANAGCCCCGUUUANCGGGAACUGACGGUACCAGNAGNAUAAGCACCGGCUNACUCCGUGCCAGCAGCCGCGGUAAUACGGAGGGUGCAAGCGUUAUCCGNNAUCACUGGGUUUAAAGGGUGCGUAGGCGGCUUAGUAAGUCAGUGGUGAAAGGCUGUGGCUUAACCAUGGGAUUGCCAUUGAUACUGCUGAGCUUGAAUGAGGUUGAGGUUAGCGGAAUGUGACAUGUAGCGGUGAAAUGCUUAGAUAUGUCAUGGAACACCAAUUGCGAAGGCAGCUAACUGGACCUUAAUUGACGCUGAGGCACGAAAGCGUGGGUAGCGAACAGGAUUAGAUACCCUGGUAGUCCACGCCCUAAACGAUGCUUACUCGUUGUUUGACAGCCGUCAAGGCCGUUGAGUGACUAAGCGAAAGCGAUAAGUAAGCCACCUGGGGAGUACGACUCGUCAAGGUUGAAACUCACAAGGNAAUUGACGGGGGUCCGCACAAGCGGNUGGAGUCAUGUGGUUUAAUUCGAUGAUACGCGAGGAACCUUACCUGGGCUAGCAAUGNCGCGUGUUAUGGGUGUGAAAGCAUCCAGGCCUAGCUAAUAGGACACAAAGNCAAGGUGCUGCAUGGUCUGUCGUCAGCUGUGAC
This 688-nucleotide ribosomal RNA is filed under the name uncultured Bacteroides sp. Its description in RNAcentral is "partial 16S ribosomal RNA". It matches the Rfam family "Bacterial small subunit ribosomal RNA", at positions 399 to 1065 of the family's 1533-position model. The record is from RNAcentral. Lineage: Bacteria; Pseudomonadati; Bacteroidota; Bacteroidia; Bacteroidales; Bacteroidaceae.